Non-coding RNA from Acanthosepion pharaonis, 106 nucleotides. NCBI's taxonomy places the organism in Eukaryota, Metazoa, Mollusca, Cephalopoda, Sepiida, Sepiidae. The record is from the annotation of a GenBank genome assembly.
CAGCUAUAUCACAUUGAAACAUUGGUUCUCCUACAAUCACCAAAGUUAAACAAUGUUGAGCCUGGUCAGUACCUAGAUGGGUGACCACUUGGGCAUACCAGGUGUU